GAAAGUAGCAAAUAUAUGCAGAUGUAAUUCAAUUUGGAAUGACAUGGCUACUGAAACCAACCACUUUGCUGAAAGUCACCUUCUCUCCUGAUCAUUGCCUUGUCUUUAUUCUGUGAUUUGGCCUAUAUAUUUUCUGCUUUUUAAUUUUUGUCAUUCUGUUUAUUCUAUCUAAACCUAAAUGUACUCAGUUUUGAUUGAAGAUUACAAAUAGUGGUGCUUGGAAAUUUCACAAGCAAGCUACUGUAAUAGUUGAAUGGGAUAAGAGGAUCUUGCGCAAUCACGAUAUUCUUUCUAAGCUUGAGAUAUAUCAAGGCAUUGGUUCUUCUGCCUUCUUAAUUGUUGCGAGAAAAAAUGACUCUUUUCAUCAUGGAUGUCUUGGAUUGAUUUUCUUGGUCCAUGUUCACCACUCUGAAUAUGCCAAUCAAGUUUUGUAUCAAAGAAUUGAAGGAAAUAGUAAAAAAUCACAUUGUUUUUGUUCUUUAUGUUCAUCUUUUAUUUUUAUUAUCUAAUCAUCUUUUCAUUUUAUUAUCUCAUGCAUAAAUUAUUCUUCAGAUUGAAGUGGCAAAAGUGGUGAAGACACAAGCUAACUUGGAACGACAAUUGGAGUUAAUUGAGACCCAU
This 621-nucleotide unclassified non-coding RNA is filed under the name Hevea brasiliensis (rubber tree). The record is from RNAcentral. Lineage: Eukaryota; Viridiplantae; Streptophyta; Magnoliopsida; Malpighiales; Euphorbiaceae.